AACCUCGAGACACCCCGCUUCGUCCGCGAGCAGAAGGGAAUCGACAUGAAGCUUCCCUCACAACCAGCGCGCCUAAGGAAGGGAGAGGGGGAGCUGGGUCGCCGGGGAGAGGUGAAUUGGACGGAAGGAGCACCGAGGAGCCGGUGAUUGGCGGCGGCGGGACUGCACAGCAACUAACAAAUACUGCAAAGUUUGUGGUGCUGCUGCCGAGCUGCCGGCCCGCCCGCAUAUCCAGGGCGGCACACGCUCCCUGGCCGCGCCCCUCUCACUGGACCUCUUCCGUGAUCCGUUCCUCGCCGUCGGAACGUCCCUGGUCGCUGGAGAGCUCCGCCCUGAACCAUCCCUCACCGGCCUGCUCCGCCCUGAUCCGCCUCUGCCCUUCUGUUUGUAUAAGAGAGAGCUGAUGCUUGCACAAUUGGUGGAUGCUACCGAACAGAUGCAGAAGAGAGAAGUUAUGCAGGUUUGCAGAUACACCAAAAGAUUAUGCACAGCUGACUCCGCGUCUGUUUCUUCUGCAAAAGAUGGCUUCAGUACGCACAAGAGCGGCAGAUUCAGUAGUGGAUGUUAAGGAAGUGGAAACUACUUAUUAUUAAUGACAACGGAACAUAGACUGGUCACAUAUUUGUGACAACUACUGCUGGCAAAAAUGAAAGCGCUACAAGAACCGUGAGCUCUAUGCAAUGUUUCUCUUCUAUAACUGAGAAGGAUUAGCCAUAUCUAAACUUGGUUUUGUAGUAUACGCCUGAGACUGUUCAUGGUGUUGUAAUCGAGCAUUACAACAUGUACCAGCACAUGCCACUUAUCCAA
Long non-coding RNA from Lolium rigidum, 807 nucleotides. RefSeq lists it as uncharacterized. NCBI's taxonomy places the organism in Eukaryota, Viridiplantae, Streptophyta, Magnoliopsida, Poales, Poaceae. The transcript is spliced from 2 exons. The record is from RefSeq and is a predicted model, not a curated record.